Haliotis rufescens (red abalone) is the source of this 1182-nucleotide long non-coding RNA. RefSeq lists it as uncharacterized. The record is from RefSeq and is a predicted model, not a curated record. The transcript is spliced from 4 exons. Lineage: Eukaryota; Metazoa; Mollusca; Gastropoda; Lepetellida; Haliotidae.
GCGAAAUACGCUACAGUCGGAAAGCGCACGUUAAAUCUCCUAUAUCAGUCAGUCAGUUGGCUAUACAAGACGAUCAGCUGAAAGCUUCAGAGAUUCCCAAUCAACAAGAACGAUGAAGUUUACCUUGGCUGCCAUUCUUAUUAUCGCGCUCUGUGCUGUCAGUCCCUUGGCAGCAACAGCAAAUUCGACGGUGGCUACUGACUCAACGACUGUCACAAUGUCUACGACCACCGGGAGUGGUGCCAGCAACGUCGUCUUCUUCAUAACGUGCGUCGUGGGGGUCUACGGUGGCUGGGUGGCGCUGGAACUAGCCCUGUAGCAGAACACAACGAGCGGCAUCCCUGUGGUGAAGUGGAUACAGAUAUGAACUUCAAGUACAAGACUUGUUUUUGCUUCAACUGACACGCGCAUCACCAUUUGUCACCUCUCGCAUCUUUCCGUAAUCAUCGCAUCAUGUCCCGGAAUGACCCGAGUGGUCACGAAUGGUCCCCAUAUCACGUCUUUGAGGGGAAAUCAAUUCCAGAACUAUUGAAUAUUGACAUUUUGAGAAAUUUGACAAUAAGUAACAUGUUAUUUUGAGAAUGCUCUAAAAAUCCAUUUUAUGUAUCUGUGUAAUUUUUUACGACCAUCAAUCACUGUUUCUAUGUUAAUACCGUUUCAGCAUAGCACCUGGUAAAAAACAUUUUCUUUCUUGUAUUUUACAUCAUAUCUGUGUCCACUGUAUUCCCCGAUUAUUUUGUUAUCUUCUGUCCGUUAUUUCACCGAUCGUAUACACUUUCAUAAGUAAACCAACGACGCCAUUUUUAUCUCGGGACGGUAUUUCCAUCAUGUUCCUGUAGUAGCGGGAUGCCAUUGUGUACUCGUCAAUCUGUUUACGCACUUCAGUCUAUGGCUAUGACUUGGUCUCUUUGAUUGAUCAGCUGACAACAAAUCCACUGUAUGUUUCUUCACAGGAAUCGGUAGUUCUGAUUAUGAUUAAAAUAUAUUUUUACUAUGAAACACCCCACUUUUACACAUAAACAAACGAGUGCCACGAGUGCCACGAGUAGUAGGCGAUUGCACUCCUUGUGUUAAUAUAUAUAGAUAGGGGGAUGCUUGAUUGUGAAAUACCUUUCGACUUUAUUAUCAUAAUCAGAACUUCCUGGGGUUUCCUUUUUAAUAAAGAUAUCGUGUGCAUCUCAA